GAAGAGAUGCUUUAGAAGUGUAACGUUAAGUAUGGCCAUCAUAACUGUGAAAAGAGAGCACAGCUAACGUUAUAUAAACAUUAUCCCCCAGUUUCAGACAAGUUUCAGACUAAAAUGCAUGUUCAAGCUGUCAUGACUGAAAAUAUCUUGUACUGGCACAUCUUAAAAUAUGUCCGUGCCAUUGUUGUGUCUCAAGAUGCACACCAGUAAUGUUCUUAAGGCAUUUUUAUAGAAGUUAUUUAAAUAUCCUGAUUUAACCAAGGCCUAGUCCUGGCUUAAGCUAAGCCCUGUCUGUGAAACCCUGUCUCUAUGUUCAAACAUGGAAGUUAUACAAGAAUGAAACAAUGUCGUUGUUCACAUCAGACAUGUACAUACAUUUAAAUUACUUUAUGCACUAAAACGUACACUUAUGCCACCUCACAGCAGACCUCCAGAUCAGCUGUAUGUCAUGUGGGUUAACUGAGACCUGUUCUGAGGAGGAUCACUUUAUUGACAGAAAAGUUGUCAGCGACAAGCCUGACAUCAUCCAAAGGCCAGCUCUUUUUACAGUAAACUAGGAUGCAGCUGACAAGACAGACUCCAGUAAGAAUCCUCAGUGUUGAUCAAGCAAGUCUACGUCUAACCCAUCUAGAGCGGGAAUCAUCUUGAAAGAAAACUUCCAUUUCCAUUCUAUUUCCAUUUUUUUCAGACUGAUUUAUGCCCUGCACCUGGACUAAGUGUUUGAAAAGCACUUUAUAUUUUAUUCAGCAGGUAAUGCUCAACCUCGGAAAAGGUGGGUUAACACAUAAAAUUCAGUACUGCCAAUAUUUUGGAAUAAAACCAUAUAGUUUUGAAGCCGU
Cyprinus carpio (common carp) is the source of this 839-nucleotide long non-coding RNA. RefSeq lists it as uncharacterized. NCBI's taxonomy places the organism in Eukaryota, Metazoa, Chordata, Actinopteri, Cypriniformes, Cyprinidae. The record is from RefSeq and is a predicted model, not a curated record.